GUGCAGCAGUCGCGAAAACUCCGCAAUACGCGAAAGCGUGACGGGGCCAUCCCGAGUGCCGUCCGCUGAGGAUGGCUUUUCCCUAGUGUAGAUAGCUGGGGGAAUAAGGAGAGGGCAAGUCUGGUGUCAGCCGCCGCGGUAAUACCAGCUCUUCGAGUGGUAGGGAUGUUUAUUGGGCCUGAAGCAUCCGUAGCCGGCUGGACAAGUCCUCCGUUAAAUCCAGCGAUUCAAUCGUUGGAUUGCGAGGGAUACUGUUCGGCUAGGGGGUGAGAGAGGCCAACGGUAUUCCCGGGGUAGGGGUGAAAUCCUAUAAUCCCGGGAGGACCACCAGUGGCGAAGGCGGCCGACUAAAACGCGCCCGACGGUGAGGGACGAAAGCUGGGGGAGCGAACGGGAUUAGAUAUGAAGUUGAGUUUUUACCAGCUUCACUAGAUACCCCGGUAGUCC
RNAcentral lists this ribosomal RNA (447 nucleotides) under uncultured archaeon. RNAcentral describes it as "partial 16S ribosomal RNA". It matches the Rfam family "Archaeal small subunit ribosomal RNA", at positions 330 to 747 of the family's 1478-position model. The record is from RNAcentral.